AGAGCGUUUCUCCUUUAUAAUCUACUAAAAAGGGGCUAUCGUUGCAAAUUUGGAGUGCUGAGAAAAUGGAGGAGGAGAAUACAGUGAAAAUGGGGCAGACAUUCAUGAAAUCAUUCCCUGGAGUGGUAGCAACUGGAGGCAGAGAGACUUCUCUAUGAAGGCAUCACAUUGUCAUUGGCAUACAGAAUUAUUACAGGAUCUGGUUUGCACCUUGAAGGCUUAUUAACAGAAAUGUAAAACAGUGGGGGGCAUUUUUAAAUGCCUGAAUUUGUGCAGAAUCAGUCUUAAGACCUAAUUAAGUAUUUUAAUGAAUAUGUAUAAAAAAGCAUAUUUAUGGUAGCUUAUUACAGAUGGAGGUAAAGCCCAGGAUUGAUAUAUACACACACACACACACAGAUUUUUAUUUUGUUGUUAUAAGAAUAUUGUUCGUUUGAAUUACUGAAAUGCAAGUUACACCUAUAUAUAUAUAUAUAUAUAUAUAUAUAUAUAUAUAUAUAUAUAUAUAUAAUCUACAUACAAAGAUACUGAAUAUUUGUGCAGUUAAUUUUUGUGCAUCUGAAUGAAAACAAGAUACUUUGAAUAUUCCCUUUGACUACUUUUCUGGGUCAUUACUGCUGUUUUGCAAAGUGCUGUUUGAAGCUCUCAGUAAAUCACUGAGUUGCUUUCCACUUUCGCUCCUUUGGUUCCACUUCUGUACACACAAUCCAUUUUCUGAAUGAAACACAGCUCCCUAAGCAGCAUCACUUUACUUGAUAAUAUGUGGUGUGUGUAUGUCACAAGAAACACACGAUUUUACAUGCUGUAAUGACAUAGCAAGCAGUACAGCUAAGCAGAAUUACGAAUAGUGUAGAUUUGAGUUCCAUCCAAGACGCAUGUAAUGCUGCUGUUAUGAAUGAUAUUAAUUACUAAUGUUAAUGUUUUACUCAGAUACAACAAAGCCAUAUCAAGCAAAAUAAAUGAAAAAAGAAUGAGAGGAAUGUGAAUGAUGGUAAGCAUACAGAGACGGGCAAUCAAGCCAUCUGGUACCUUUUCAGGAAAUCACUUUAUAUUAAUAUAGAUUCACGGAUCUGGAGAAUAGCAUGGUCAGGCCUCUUAAUAAAAAUAGGAAUAACAAAAACUAUAAAGAUCAAGGAUAGACAACUAACAUCUAAACUCUCAAGUGGAUGAAUUAGUCAGAAAUUUGGCAAAUUUCUAUUUGGGCAUUUUAAAAAUAUUGUUUUUCCAAUGGAAGGCAGAAUUUUGUACAUACCCCAUGCAGGGACAAUGCCUCCUGCAUCCUUGUUACUUACCAUAGCCAGGUCUAAAUUUAUUGCACCGACAUACAUCCACUAACUGAUUUAGGCUUUGCUCCCUUUUCUCAGUUCAGCCAAAGCGAUGAUGGCGGAAGGUUUUACCCAUACUCAAGCACACCACAGUAACAAGGAAACAUUUGGAAGUGAGACUUGAGGGAUAAUUAAGAAUGCCUAAAGACAUGUGGAGCAUAUGCUUUGAGACUUCAGAAUGUGUUUGUGAUAUUGCCCCAGUUUUGAUUUGGUUGUAACUGGCUGCCUGUAGGUGUUUUUUUGUAUUGUCUGGAUUUUUUUUUUUUGCUAUUUUAUUUUUAUCACACACUUGCUAGUAGUAGUAAUAAUCAAAAGUAAUAUUAAAAUUAUACAUGUAUUUAAAA
Molecule: long non-coding RNA, 1666 nt
Organism: Protopterus annectens (West African lungfish)
Lineage: Eukaryota; Metazoa; Chordata; Ceratodontiformes; Protopteridae
Exons: 2
Source: RefSeq, a predicted model, not a curated record